UGGGGAAUUUUGCACAAUGGGGGCAACCCUGAUGCAGCGACGCCGCGUGAUUUAGAAGGCCUUCGGGUUGUAAAAAUCUUUUGUAUGGGAAGAAAAUGACAGUACCAUACGAAUAAGGACCGGCUAAUUACGUGCCAGCAGCCGCGGUAAUACGUAAGGUCCGAGCGUUGUCCGGAAUCAUUGGGCGUAAAGGGUACGUAGGCGGAUAAGCAAGUUAGAAGUGAAAUCCUAUAGCUCAACUAUAGUAAGCUUUUAAAACUGCUCAUCUUGAGGUAUGGAAGGGAAAGUGGAAUUCCUAGGGUAGCGGUGAAAUGCGCAGAUAUUAGGAGGAAUACCGGUGGCGAAGGCGACUUUCUGGCCAUAAACUGACGCUGAGGUACGAAAGCGUGGGUAGCAAACAGG
This 402-nucleotide ribosomal RNA is filed under the name Actinomycetes bacterium. Its description in RNAcentral is "Actinobacteria bacterium partial 16S ribosomal RNA". It matches the Rfam family "Bacterial small subunit ribosomal RNA", at positions 355 to 776 of the family's 1533-position model. Lineage: Bacteria; Bacillati; Actinomycetota; Actinomycetes. The record is from RNAcentral.